This 427-nucleotide ribosomal RNA is filed under the name uncultured beta proteobacterium. RNAcentral describes it as "bacterial SSU rRNA". It matches the Rfam family "Bacterial small subunit ribosomal RNA", at positions 355 to 774 of the family's 1533-position model. The record is from RNAcentral. Lineage: Bacteria; Pseudomonadati; Pseudomonadota; Betaproteobacteria.
UGGGGAAUUUUGGACAAUGGGCGAAAGCCUGAUCCAGCCAUGCCGCGUGAGUGAAGAAGGCCUUCGGGUUGUAAAGCUCUUUUAGUCGGAAAGAAAGAGUUGCAAUGAAUAAUUGUGAUUUAUGACGGUACCGACAGAAAAAGCACCGGCUAACUUCGUGCCAGCAGCCGCGGUAAUACGAAGGGGGCUAGCGUUGUUCGGAUUUACUGGGCGUAAAGGGUGCGCAGGCGGUCUUGCAAGUCAGAUGUGAAAGCCCCGGGCUUAACCUGGGAAUUGCGUUUGAAACUACAAGGCUAGAGUGCAGCAGAGGGGAGUGGAAUUCCAUGUGUAGCAGUGAAAUGCGUAGAGAUGUGGAAGAACACCGAUGGCGAAGGCAGCUCCCUGGGUUGACACUGACGCUCAUGCACGAAAGCGUGGGGAGCAAACG